Long non-coding RNA from Hipposideros armiger (great roundleaf bat), 2141 nucleotides. RefSeq lists it as uncharacterized. The transcript is spliced from 2 exons. NCBI's taxonomy places the organism in Eukaryota, Metazoa, Chordata, Mammalia, Chiroptera, Hipposideridae. The record is from RefSeq and is a predicted model, not a curated record.
AGUCACAGGAAGCCUGGUCCUGCUGGUCAGGUGUCCUGGCCGCUCCGUGGGCCUCUGUCAUCUCACCUGUAAAUCCCCAGGUUCAGAGGGCCCAGGGUAGUUGUCGGGAUUAAGUGAGAAACGGUGUAAAGUGCUUGGCUGGCCCUGGGCUGAGAGAGGUCAGUGAGGGCCAUGGCCCUGGGCUGUGGAGCGUGGUCUGGUCAAUGCAGGUCACAGCCCUGGGCCGAAAGGGACGGCCUGUGUGGGAUGUCCUAGCUGAGGGGGAAUGGCGUCCUGGGAGCUUGGGUCUCGCCCUCCCCUGGCCUGAGGGCUCCGCUGAGGGACCACCCGCUCUUACCAGCAACCGUGGGCGCUUCUCCAAGACAAGUGAGGAGGGGUCCACCCCUAAGGGUCGAAGGGUCACACAUUUGAAACGAGGAGACAGCAAGUUCGUGUGACCUUCACGUCCCACCAGUAGGUAUCAGGGUCCCAUCUUACAAUCGGAGCUUGGAAGGGCGAAGGCGGGAAGCCCAGGACGGCGCAGCUGUGGGCAGGACACAGUGGCUCCACGCGGGGCAGCGAGAUCACAAGCCAGGCAGACCUCCAUCACUUUGCUCAUGGCUGCAGGAGGCGUGGGUUCUUUUUGGGUGAUGUUUUAGGUUGAGCUUGGGGUGUUUUUACAACCCCAGUAUAAAAACAAUACAUGCUCCUCACAGGAAGUUCCCCUAAGUUGCUCCUACAUGGUCACGUGUUCUUAAGUUUUACUAUGAACACGAUGCAUUUCCAGUUGCCUGCAGUCCUCGGAAGUGGGCGCGUUGCAGCGUGGGCUGCUCUGCGUCGCGGGUGCCGCCACGUUCAGAUGGUGGAAUCUUUUUCUCUCUGCCUGCUCAUUCGUUUUUCAACAAGGAGAGGCUUGUCUGGGCCCGGGUGGGUGGCAGUGAUCUCCUUAGCACCCUGCCCCGAGCCCACGAGAGGCCCUCAGAAACGCUGGGCCAGGUGCUGUGGACAGCCUGACCACGCCCCACGUUUAGCAAUCAUUUCCCUGCUCGGGCUUCAGUUCUUCCUGGGUCUGGCCAGGUAACUAUUUAUAGAAAGUGGAAAAAGUACAGUCUUAACAGCUAACAUCAGACUCUUCCAAGUGAAGGACCGUCUGUGUCAGGGAAGACAUGUUGACAGGCGGGCUGCCCAGGGCGUGGCUGCCACGGUGGCUCAGCCUGGCGGCGGAGGUCUGAUGGGGGAGGGGAGGCAGUGGCUGGGGACCGGCGGUGGGCGAGGGCCCGCGGAGAGGGCCCCGGUGUGGAGCGAGGCUGCCUCGAUCAAUGUGAACGUCUCUGUGUGGCUUUAGGUGCCCGGCCCUGCUUUCUGGUUUUCUCCAAGCCCCCUCGUGUGACGGAUUUCGGCUCCGUGGCUUAUGGAGUGUGACGGCUCUGCCAGCCCGCUGCCCAGGUGGCAGCAUGGUCCCUUGAGUGUGUGGCCCGGCCUCACAUGCUUCACUUCUGCUCCCAAUGUGAGCGCGGCUUUAGACCUGAAGCUCCCGGGAGGUCUGCCCAGCGUCUGGCCCGGGAGACGGGGAUUUACCACCACUAAGAGUGGGUGCGGGAGUGACCAGCCUGGACUGCACAGGACACGCCUGAGGGGCACAGAACACCUGCUGGGACCUCAGGCCUAGAGACGCUCCAGGCAGCUGGGGCUCCCGACUUCCUCGACUUCCUCGGCUGGCCAGCCUGCCUCCUGGCAGAAGCCUUGGUCAAGGCCCCACCUCCCUUGGCCCCCCCAGCCCAUCCCACAUAUGUGGCCCGCCCCUCCCCUUUUUGGACAGCGUCCCCUGACUCCGUGGACACCACUCCUACCGCCUCAGCACUCGCUCCUGUCCGGAAAACGCAGCUGUUCCCCAACAUUGUGGUGUCGGCCCUUACGGUGGAUGUUCGGCCAUGUGCCAAGCCCCCAUUGCCGUGCACGUGACAGGAGUGGUUGCGUGGGGCCCGUGCGCGCCCGAUCACUCGUGUGAGCCCUUUGCUUAUCUGGCGAGCUGCCUGGAAUGUUCCAGGUGCUCUUCCCCUCAGCACGGGCCCCUGACGAUCCAGUGACGGGAAGACCCCAGCCCACUGCCACCUGAAGUGUACAAGCAGCACGAGUGUAAAAUAAACCUUUGUGGUUGGAAA